GACGAACGCUGGCGGCGUGCCUAAUACAUGCAAGUCGAGCGAAGUUUUUCUGGUGCUUGCACCGGAAAAACUUAGCGGCGAACGGGUGAGUAACACGUAAAGAACCUGCCUCAUAGACUGGGACAACUAUUGGAAACGAUAGCUAAUACCGGAUAACAGCAUUAACUGCAUGGUUGAUGUUUAAAAGUUGGUUUUGCUAACACUAUGAGAUGGCUCUGCGGUGCAUUAGCUAGUUGGUGGGGCAAAGGCCUACCAAGGCGACGAUGCAUAGCCGACCUGAGAGGGUGAUCGGCCACACUGGGACUGAGACACGGCCCAGACUCCUACGGGAGGCAGCAGUAGGGAAUCUUCCGCAAUGGGCGAAAGCCUGACGGAGCAACGCCGCGUGAGUGAAGAAGGAUUUCGGUUCGUAAAGCUCUGUUGUUAGGGAAGAAUGAUUGUGUAGUAACUA
RNAcentral lists this ribosomal RNA (451 nucleotides) under uncultured Gemella sp. Its description in RNAcentral is "bacterial SSU rRNA". It matches the Rfam family "Bacterial small subunit ribosomal RNA", at positions 28 to 466 of the family's 1533-position model. The record is from RNAcentral. Lineage: Bacteria; Bacillati; Bacillota; Bacilli; Caryophanales; Gemellaceae.